UAAUACGUAGGUGGCGAGCGUUGUCCGGAUUUACUGGGCGUAAAGAGCGCGCAGGCGGUCGUAUAAGUCGAAUGUGAAAGCCCCCGGCUCAACUGGGGAGAGUCAUUCGAUACUGUUCGACUCGAAGGCAGGAGAGGGAAGUGGAAUUCCGGGUGUAGUGGUGAAAUGCGUAGAUAUCCGGAGGAACACCAGUGGCGAAGGCGACUUUCUGGCCUGUUCUUGACGCUGAGGCGCGAAAGCUAGGGGAGCAAACGGGAUUAGAUACCCCGGUAGUCCUAGCCGUAAACGAUGGACACUAGGUGUUGGUGGUAUCAACCCCGCCAGUGCCGUAGCUAACGCAUUAAGUGUCCCGCCUGGGGAGUACGGCCGCAAGGCUA
Molecule: ribosomal RNA, 377 nt
Filed under: uncultured bacterium
Lineage: Bacteria
Description: bacterial SSU rRNA
Rfam family: Bacterial small subunit ribosomal RNA
Source: RNAcentral